CACUGAGCCACAUCCCCAACCCUAUUUUGGAUUUUAUUUAGAGACAGGGUCUCAUUGAGUUGCUUAGCACCUCACUUUUGCUGAGGCUGGCUUUGAACAUGUGAUCCUACUACCUCAUUCUCCUGAGCUCCUGGGAUUAUAGGCAUGUGCCACCGUACCUGGCCUAAAAUUUCAAUAUUUUGAAUAUAUCCUUCCAUUCAGUGUUUUGAACAUACUGUUCUGUGGUUGGUGUGGUGGGGGCCAGACUAUAUAACUGGAGUCUGGCUGGGAACCAUAGGUGGAUGGGACCAUGAACUAUGCUCCUUAGUUUGCAGGGAUUCUGGCUUGACUCCUUACCCAGGUGGGGCUGAUAGCUAUUUUCCAUGGCUAUGAUGGACUCCUGGCUGGGUUCCUCAGUUAGGACCAACUGUGGGCUGUUGAUCUCUGGCCAGACGAGGCUAACUACUGAGUUACUUAUGUAUUUGGAGCUGAUGACAGAGUUGUAUGACCAGACAAUGCUGCUGGUAGGAACGUGUGCCACUGUUAAAACCUAUUUAUGAGUGGUUGUUAGCAUUGCCCUCUUUUUUUGUUCCUAGAUGAUUAUAGGUGGUACUAGAUGAUUAUAGGCCCUAGCAAUUUCUCCACCGUUCCCUGUAAGAUCAGAUAAAAGUGGUACUCCCAGAAAGUGCCCUAUAACACUGAAGAAGCUGAAUGUUUGCCUUGGGCUUUCUUCUCGCCUACUGGAGAAACCCUAGAACCAGGGGAACCUCUCAGUAUGGUGUUGUGCUGGCCUGGGGAAGAGGCAGUCUGUUCAAAAUGAA
RNAcentral lists this long non-coding RNA (800 nucleotides) under Marmota monax (woodchuck). The record is from RNAcentral. Lineage: Eukaryota; Metazoa; Chordata; Mammalia; Rodentia; Sciuridae.